RNAcentral lists this ribosomal RNA (497 nucleotides) under uncultured bacterium. Its description in RNAcentral is "partial 16S ribosomal RNA". It matches the Rfam family "Bacterial small subunit ribosomal RNA", at positions 28 to 507 of the family's 1533-position model. The record is from RNAcentral.
GAUGAACGCUGGCGGCGUGCCUAAUACAUGCAAGUCGAGCGAACAGACGAGGAGCUUGCUCCUCUGACGUUAGCGGCGGACGGGUGAGUAACACGUGGAUAACCUACCUAUAAGACUGGGAUAACUUCGGGAAACCGGAGCUAAUACCGGAUAAUAUAUUGAACCGCAUGGUUCAAUAGUGAAAGACGGUUUUGCUGUCACUUAUGGAUGGAUCCGCGCCGCAUUAGCUAGUUGGUAAGGUAACGGCUUACCAGGGCAACGAUGCGUAGCCGACCUGAGAGGGUGAUCGGCCACACUGGAACUGAGACACGGUCCAGACUCCUACGGGAGGCAGCAGUAGGGAAUCUUCCGCAAUGGGCGAAAGCCUGACGGAGCAACGCCGCGUGAGUGAUGAAGGUCUUCGGAUCGUAAAACUCUGUUAUUAGGGAAGAACAAAUGUGUAAGUAACUAUGCACGUCUUGACGGUACCUAAUCAGAAAGCCACGGCUAACUACGUG